AGCUCUGUGGUGUAGUGGCCAAGCAUAGUGGGCUCUGGACCCGCCGACGGCAGUUCGAAUCUGCCCAGAGCUA
This 73-nucleotide transfer RNA is filed under the name Cuniculiplasma divulgatum. Its description in RNAcentral is "tRNA-Gln". It matches the Rfam family "tRNA". From Rfam's summary of the family: Transfer RNA (tRNA) molecules are approximately 80 nucleotides in length. Their secondary structure includes four short double-helical elements and three loops (D, anti-codon, and T loops). Lineage: Archaea; Methanobacteriati; Thermoplasmatota; Thermoplasmata; Thermoplasmatales; Cuniculiplasmataceae. RNAcentral also lists the same sequence under 4 other names. The record is from RNAcentral.